UAAAACCCGGGAGGACUGGCCGCGGCCGAUUGUAAUUUGUAGAAGGUGCUUCGGGUGCGACCCCGGUCCAAGUCCCUUGGAACAGGGUGUCCUAGAGGGUGAGAAUCCCGUAUGCGGCCGAUGGUCAGGCCCAUGUGAAGCCCUUUCGACGAGUCGAGUUGUUUGGGAAUGCAGCUCUAAAUGGGUGGUAAAUUUCAUCUAAAGCUAAAUAUCUGUCGAAGACCGAUAGCGCACAAGUAGAGUGAUCGAAAGAUGAAAAGCACUUUGAAAAGAGAGUCAAACAGUACGUGAAAUUGUUGAAAGGGAAGCGCUUGCAACCAGACUCGCUCGCGGGUGCUCAGCCGUCCUUAGGGGCGGUGCAUUCUCCCGCGGCCGGGCCAGCAUCGGUUUAGGCGGCCGGAUAAAGGUUUCGGGAAUGUAGCUCUUUUCGGGGAGUGUUAUAGCCCGGGGCGUAAUGCGGCCAGCUUAGACCGAGGACCGCGCAUUCGCUAGGAUGCUGGCGUAAUGGUUGCCAGCGACCCGUCUUGAAACACGGACCAAGGAGUCGACCAACCGCGCGAGUGUUUGGGUGUUAAACCCCCGGCGCGUAAUGAAAGUAAACGGAGGUGGGAGCCUUCGGGCGCACCAUCGACCGAUCCUGAUAUCUUUGGAUGGAUUUGAGUAUGAGCCCGGCUGGUCGGACCCGAAAGGUGAGAGCAUGCCCCCGCUAUGCUUUAUUAAAUUUAUAUUUGCUAACUGCGUUUCUAGAUGGUGAACUAUGCGUGAAUAGGGUGAAGCCAGAGGAAACUCUGGUGGAGGCUCGCAGCGGUUCUGACGUGCAAAUCGAUCGUCAAAUUUGCGCAUAGGGGCGAAAGACCAAUCGAACUAUCUAGUAGCUGGUUCCCGUCGAAGUUUCCCUCAGGAUAGCAGCAACGGAGACAGUCUCAUGAGGUAGAGCAAACGAUUAGAGGUCUUGGGGUCAUAAUUGACCUUAACCUAUUCUCGAACUUCGAAUAUGUGAGAAGUCCUUGUUACUUAGUUGAACGUGGACAUUUGGAUGUAUCGUGCAUUCCCCCA
Molecule: ribosomal RNA, 1056 nt
Filed under: Ocellularia microsorediata
Lineage: Eukaryota; Fungi; Ascomycota; Lecanoromycetes; Ostropales; Graphidaceae
Description: eukaryotic LSU rRNA
Rfam family: Eukaryotic large subunit ribosomal RNA
Source: RNAcentral